UCACGUGACAAGAGUUCUUAUAUACGUAGUUCACCGCAAUACUUGGCAUUUGUAUGAAAAUGAACUCAGGAGGUUGGUGUGUUUUGAGAGCUGGUGAAGACUACAGACGUCGACAAGCAAUGGCAAUGCCUUCAGUGCUCCAUAUCCUCCUCAUCUUUUCCCUGGUGGGCCACAGCUUUGCAGAGGAUGAGGCUUCUCCUCGAGGCUGUGGCUCCCUCCUAACGAGGCCAUUCACCAAGCUGUGCGACCUGGACGCAGUGUGGGGUGUAGCGGUGGCAGUGGCGGCAGGCGUGGCGGUCCUGGCCUCGCUGAUCCUGGCCCUGGUGCUGUUGUGCCGCCUGCGACGCAUCACAGAGCCUGAGGCUCGCAGCGGAGUGGCACCUCUGAUCCUGCUCCUAGCCACCAUUAUCAUGCUCUCUGCUCUCAGCUUUGUCCAUGUCAUGGAGAGUGAAGAGCAUGUGUGCAUUGCCCGACACUCCCUCUGGGGGGCACUCUUACUCCUUAGCAUUGCAUACCAAGCGACCCAGGGUGUGCGAUUGCUCCGGUGCCCCUGCUUCAGGGCCAUGGCGGGGGUGGCGAUAGGCCUGGCUGUAGUGCUGGGUCUUGCUAGUGUUGAGUGGAUCCUGGCGAUUGCACUACACCGAGGCCUGCCCGUUUGUCAGUAUCAGCCGCUGCGCAUCAGCUUGGUCUGCAUAUACGUGGUGACCCUACUGUUGGCAGUACCAAUUGCCUUGACCCGUGGCCUGACUCGGGGGCAGCCACAGUGGAAAUGUAGAAUUCUCAGCCUGUUUAUUAUGUGCUACAUCUCUGCUGUGGUGUGGGCCAUAUUUUUAACAUACCAGCUAUACAACAAAUCGCUUCCUGUCCAGUCCCCUAACAAGGAAGACGAGAUGCUGGCAAAGAUGCUGGUGGUGCAGGCCUGGCUGCUGCUGGUGCUCCAUGCCACUCCUGAAGCUCAUGCCUGCCUGCGCUCAGCCUCACAGCCUUCGGGUCUGGUUGAUAUUGCCAUGCAGGCCCAGCCCCGCUCGAGGGAAGCCAGUGUGGAAGAGGGCCUUCCCCUGUCCCCCCAGCCUAGUGUAGAGAGCCAGGGCUCUCCAUCGCACAGCAGCUCAGCUGGUUCUGGAAGUCAGUGGCCCAGCACAUCCUUCCAUAUGGAGAUGAGCAGCAACGCAGUGAGUGCAUCUCCUCAUUCAGCACCUCACACACAGACACAAGGGGGCAACCCAAACACUGCACUGAACAUUCAGCUUUGGUCUACAGGCCUUUCCUUGUUCCUCAGACCUCACCUGACCAGAGCCUAAAUACCAUGGAUGCAGGUCAAAUUAGAACUGGGCUGCACCCCCAUCAGUCCGAGUUACAUCAUGCUGUUUAGGGGGUGCAUGUAUACACAAGUAGCCCUCAGCAAUCCCAGUCAAAACUUUUAAGUGUCACCACUGAACUGCUGAAGGAUGUUUAUAAGGUCAGUAAAUACUUGUCUCUCAUCUGCAGGAGCCCAUGCCCUCCA
Molecule: RNA transcript, 1504 nt
Organism: Brienomyrus brachyistius
Lineage: Eukaryota; Metazoa; Chordata; Actinopteri; Osteoglossiformes; Mormyridae
Gene name: G-protein coupled receptor family C group 5 member B-like
Exons: 4
Source: RefSeq, a predicted model, not a curated record